Molecule: microRNA precursor, 109 nt
Organism: Cajanus cajan (pigeon pea)
Lineage: Eukaryota; Viridiplantae; Streptophyta; Magnoliopsida; Fabales; Fabaceae
Source: Rfam
AAAGUGAGUUGCAGCCAAGAAUGACUUGCCGGAAGUCGUGCAUUAAGUAUCAAUGGAUAGUUGUGCCUUAUAAUUUUGGCGAGUUGUUCUUGGCUACACUUAUCUCUCU